GCCAACAGCCAUACCAUGUUGAAUACACCGGUUCUCGUUGGAUCACCGAAGUUAAGCAACAUCGGGCCUCGAUAGUACUUGGAUGGGUGACCGCCUGGGAACAACGGGUGCUGUUGGCU
RNAcentral lists this ribosomal RNA (119 nucleotides) under Schistocerca americana (American grasshopper). The record is from RNAcentral. Lineage: Eukaryota; Metazoa; Arthropoda; Insecta; Orthoptera; Acrididae.